Molecule: small RNA, 2077 nt
Filed under: Pongo abelii (Sumatran orangutan)
Lineage: Eukaryota; Metazoa; Chordata; Mammalia; Primates; Hominidae
Description: retained intron
Source: RNAcentral
AUUCAACCCUUCUUGCGCCAGACCAUCGGCACCCGUGAGUGACCCCCUCCUGCCACACAUGGUGUUCCCUAGUGAUCUCCCUCUGUCAUCCCAGUGUGGCCAUGGCCAGCCCCCAGUGCUCCCAGCCCAUAAAGGAGAAUGUAAGAGAAAGAAAGGGGCUCAAGUGAUCACCCAGGCCCAUAUCCAUGCUGUACAGAUCAGGAAACUGGGGUCCAGCGAAGGGCCAGUGCCUCACCACAGCCUGCCCUGAGAGCAGGAGCUGGGAACAGAACCAGGGCCUCCUGUCCACACUCAGGUUAUCAAGAUCAUUCAUUAGGGGCAUCUGUUGCAUGCCCUGUGUCAUGCUGGGUGCUGAGCAUGUGGUGGCGAUGGCACAGAUAUGUGGAGGUUUUGUCCCCUCCUCAGUCCACCUUGACCCAAGCACUGGGGGGUUCCCAGCUGGUCUGUAAGCUGUGCCCCCUGGGCUGUGCCAGUCCCCUCCCCAGGGGCAGCUCCACCCUCUCCUAACUCUCCUUGCCCACGUCUCCCCUGAACCUGCUGGCCCCAGCCGUGAUUCAGUUGCUCAACCGGGUGCGUCAGGAGUUUGAGUUCAACAUGACAGCCACCCACCACUUCUCUGUGGAUCUCAAUGCCUCUCGGAGCCUGUCCCAGGUAGCCAUGGACCUCCACGAGGCUGUCAGCAUGAAGCUGCACCGUGUCCGAGAGGCCCUGGCUCUGAUGGGCUUCACCACGCCUCUGCUGCUUGUGCUUCUCUACCUCCAAGCCCUAUUUUACCGUUAUUGUUACCUGAACUGGGACCAUUAUGACAAUAUCUACAUCACCAGCCGAUUCCUGCGCAUGGAGGCUGUGCGCUCCACGGCAGGGCUGCCCACAGUGCUACCGCUCAGUGCUCACGAGGCCAGGCGCUACAUCCCACCGGGCUCCAUCUUCUUGUCCCAAUGGGAGAAGUUUUUUUACAUUCUGGAGACCUUCAACCUUAUCCGACACCUCCUCCUCGUGCUGUUCCUAGUCUUCCUAGACUAUGCUGUCUUCUGGGUGCUUGACCUGGCCCGGCACCAGCUGCAGGGGGAGAUUGUGGCCCGCAGUCCUGUGUUGGUGUCUAUAACCGUGGAAGGUACUGGCUAUGCUGGGAAUAUUUAUCGUGACCUGGUGUCAGCAUUUGAUGUCCUGCAGCAAGGCAACAUCAGUAUUUUGUCCCGGCGUUGUCUCCUUCGUCCCUCGGAGCCUGACAGCACUGGCUACAUAGUCAUUGGCGUCAUGUAUGGCCUAUGCUUCUUCAUCACCCUGUUUGGCAGCUAUGUCAGCCGGCUGCGGCGAGUCAUCUGUGCCUCCUACUAUCCAUCCCGGGAGCAGGAGAGGAUCUCCUACCUGUACAACAUACUUCUGAGCCGCCGAACCAAUCUGUUGGCUGCCUUGCACCGAUCAGUGAGGCGGCGGGCAGCUGACCAGGGCCACAGAAGUGCCUUCCUAGUGCUGGCCAGUCGGUGCCCCUGCCUAGGUCCAUUUGUCAGCCACUUUUGGCUACAUCAGGCCUACUGCCUGGGCUGUGGGCAGCCCCAGGAUGAGGGAGACAUGGAGAACAUUGUGUCCUGCAGUACCCCGGGCUGCCAAGCUCUCUACUGCCUCACUUGCUUCCGCCUCCUGGACAAUACCUGCUCCGUGUGUGCGUCUCCCCUCUCCUACCAGGGGGACCUGGACGUGGAGCUGGACUCCAGCGAUGAGGAGGGCCCUCAGCUAUGGCUGGCUGCAGCUCAAAGGAAGGACCCUGAGCAGGCAUGGUUACUGCAGCAACAGCUCCAAGAAGUGCUCGGCAGGAGCCUCUCAAUGGAGUCCACUUCCGAGUCCAGUGACCUGGAUGAGGAGAAGGGGCCUCAGCAGAGGAAGCAUGGGCAGCAGCCCUUACCUGAAGCCCAUCAGCCUGUCAGCAUUCUCACCAGCCCUAAGCCCCACAGACCACCUGAACCAUCCUCCGCCCCCAAAGCAGCCCCCACUCCAGCUUCAGAACCCUCAGUCCCUCUCUCACCUCCCUCUCUUCCUGAUCCUUCCCACCCACCCCCCAAAUAAACCAAAAGUGGAC